Molecule: ribosomal RNA, 545 nt
Filed under: uncultured bacterium
Lineage: Bacteria
Description: bacterial SSU rRNA
Rfam family: Bacterial small subunit ribosomal RNA
Source: RNAcentral
AGAGAAUAGAUACCCGGGUAGUCCACGCCGUAAACGAUGGGUACUAGAUUUGGUGGGUCUUGACCCCCGCCGAAAUCGGAGCUAAACGCAAAUAAAGUACCCCGCCUGGGAAGUACGGUCGCAAGACUAAAACUCAAAGGAAUUGACGGGGGCCCGCACAAGCGGUGGAUCAUGUGGUUUAAUUCGAAGCAAACGCGAAGAACCUUACCUGGAUUUGACAUCCUCUGACAUCCGUAGAGAUACGGCUUUGGUAGCAAUACCACAGAGAGACAGGUGCUGCAUGGCUGUCGUCAGCUCGUGUGGUGACAUGUUGGGUUAAGUCCCGCAACGAGCGCAACCCUUGUCCUUAGUUGCCAGCAUUUAGUUGGGCUCUCUAAGGAGACUGCCGUGGUUAACACGGAGGAAGGUGGGGAUGACGUCAAGUCCUCAUGGCCUUUAUAUCCAGGGCGACACACGUGAUACAAUGGACGGUACAGAGGGAAGCCAAAGCGCAAGCUGGAGCUAAUCUCAAAAAGCCGUUCUCAGUUCGGAUUGGAGUCUGCAAC